GCCCAUGGGGGUGGGAUUGUGCUCCACUACUAUGCAAGUCGACGGUAGCACAGAGAGCUUGCUCUCGGGUGACGAGCGGCGGAUGGGUGAGUAAUGUCUGGGAAACUGCCUGAUGGAGGGGGAUAACUACUGGAAACGGUAGCUAAUACCGCAUAACGUCGCAAGACCAAAGAGGGGGACCUUCGGGCCUCUUGCCAUCAGAUGUGCCCAGAUGGGAUUAGCUAGUAGGUGGGGUAACGGCUCACCUAGGCGACGAUCCCUAGCUGGUCUGAGAGGAUGACCAGCCACACUGGAACUGAGACACGGUCCAGACUCCUACGGGAGGCAGCAGUGGGGAAUAUUGCACAAUGGGCGCAAGCCUGAUGCAGCCAUGCCGCGUGUAUGAAGAAGGCCUUCGGGUUGUAAAGUACUUUCAGCGGGGAGAAAGGCGAUAAGGUUAAUAACCUUGUCGAUUGACGUUACCCGCAGAAGAAGCACCGGCUAACUCCGUGCCAGCAGCCGCGGUAAUACGGAGGGUGCAAGCGUUAAUCGGAAUUACUGGGCGUAAAGCGCACGCAGGCGGUCUGUCAAGUCGGAUGUGAUAUCCCCCGGGCUCAACCUGGAACUGCAUUCGGAAACUGGCAGGGCUAGAGUCUUGUAGAGGGGGGGUAGUAUUCCAGGUGUAGCGGUGAAAUGCGUAGAGAUCUGGAGAAUACCGGUGGCGAAAGGCGGCCCCCUGGACAAAGACUGACGCUCAGGUGCGAAAGCGUGGGGAGCAAACAGGAUUAGAUACCCUGGUAGUCCACGCAUAAACGAUGUCGACUUGAAGUUGUGCCCUUGAAGCAGCUUCCGGACUACGCGUAAGUCGACCGCUGGGAGUACGGCCGCAGUUAAAACUCAAUGAUGACGGGGGCCCGCAGAGCGUGGAACCUGUGUUUAAUCGAUGCACGCGAAGAACUUACUUACCUGACAUCAGAGACUAAGCAGAGGUGCUUGGUGCCUCGGAACUCUGAGAACGUGCUGCAUGCCUGCGCCACGCUCGGG
This 1023-nucleotide ribosomal RNA is filed under the name Enterobacter cancerogenus. Its description in RNAcentral is "bacterial SSU rRNA". It matches the Rfam family "Bacterial small subunit ribosomal RNA", at positions 22 to 1064 of the family's 1533-position model. The record is from RNAcentral. Lineage: Bacteria; Pseudomonadati; Pseudomonadota; Gammaproteobacteria; Enterobacterales; Enterobacteriaceae.